UGAUGUUUAUCCCAUCCUCUCUCUGUGUGUCUAACAACCACUCCCUCGUACUUGCCUUUGCAAACGGUGGUUGUAUUUAUACAAGGAACAAACUUCACGGGUCACAAGCCUCUUUGAAGCCUUUCUCUCUCUUCUCACCCUCUCUGCACUUGUCUCUCUGUUCUCUCCGCACUUGUUGGCGUCAGUUUUUUUUCUUUGCUUUUCGGAUCGGAGAAUGGCAUCCAUGCCUGGAAAGGAUCAAGGAGAAACGUUUAAGCAGAUUUCAGAGGAUGAAGAGGAUCUCAUCAUAAGGAUGUAUAGCCUCAUUGGGAAUAGGGAGGAUACCAGGGAAAAGCGCAGAGGAAAUAGAGUGGUUUUGGACGAUGAGGGAGCAUGAGGAAGACGACAAUGCAUCAUCCAUCACUGGUUUUGUGUGCCCUCUUAACAUGGCUGAGAAGAAGAAGAAGAAGAACGCAAUUGAGGCUGAUUGUCCUAAUACUGCAGUAACUACUCAUUUAACCAAACCCAUCGCCUGAAAUGUUUCUAUCUAAUAUUGGUUCAUUUACUGAUAAAUUUGGAAGUCCUGAGGUGGGUAAUUUUGUGAAGUCAUUCUCUAUUGCCGGUA
Long non-coding RNA from Amborella trichopoda, 604 nucleotides. RefSeq lists it as uncharacterized. The record is from RefSeq and is a predicted model, not a curated record. Lineage: Eukaryota; Viridiplantae; Streptophyta; Magnoliopsida; Amborellales; Amborellaceae.